AACGCACCUUGCACCCUUUGGUAUUCCGAAGGGUAUGCCUGUUUGAGUGUCAUUAAAUUCUCAACUUCAAAAGAGUUUGUGCUUUUUUGAAGCUUGGACUAUGGAAGCUUGCUGGUAUCACUAUCAGCUCUUCUUAAAUGCAUUAGCGGAACUGUGAAGGACCAGCUUUGGUUUGAUAAUCCUAUCUAUGCCGUCGCUGUGGACUUGUGUGUGUUCAGCUUCUAAUUGUCUUCGGACUGCCUUCUAGGCAUACACUUUUAAGCUUGACCUCAAAUCAGGUAGGACUACCCGCUGAACUUAA
Molecule: unclassified non-coding RNA, 301 nt
Filed under: uncultured Agaricales
Lineage: Eukaryota; Fungi; Basidiomycota; Agaricomycetes; Agaricales
Description: sequence contains ITS2
Rfam family: 5.8S ribosomal RNA (bases 1-52)
Source: RNAcentral